UGCAGUCGAACGGAAACGAAACUAGCUUGCUAGUAGGCGUCGAGUGGCGGACGGGUGAGUAACGCGUAGGAAUCUGCCUGAUAGUGGGGGAUAGCCCGAAGAAAUUCGGAUUAAUACCGCAUAAUCUAUUCGUAGUAAAGUGGGGGACUUUCGAGCCUCACGCUAUCAGAUGAGCCUGCGUAAGAUUAGCUUGUUGGUAGGGUAAAAGCCUACCAAGGCAACGAUCUUUAGCUGGUCUGAGAGGAUGAUCAGCCACAUCGGGACUGAGACACGGCCCGAACUCCUACGGGAGGCAGCAGUGGGGAAUAUUGGACAAUGGGGGCAACCCUGAUCCAGCAAUACCGCGUGUGUGAAGAAGGCCCGAGGGUUGUAAAGCACUUUUCAAUUGUGAAGAAAAGUUAGCGGUUAAUAACCGUUGACCUUGACGUUAACUAUAGAAGAAGCACCGGCUAACUCCGUGCCAGCAGCCGCGGUAAUACGGAGGGUGCAAGCGUUAAUCGGAAUUACUGGGCGUAAAGCGUGCGUAGGGCGGUUUAUUAAGUCAGAUGUGAAAGCCCCGGGCUUAACCUGGGAACUGCAUUUGAAACUGGUCAACUAGAGUAUGGUAGAGGAAAGUGGAAUUUCUGGUGUAGCGGUGAAAUGCGUAGAUAUCAGAAGGAACAUCAAUGGCGAAGGCAGCUUUCUGGACCGAUACUGACGCUGAGGUACGAAAGCGUGGGUAGCAAACAGGAUUAGAUACCCUGGUAGUCCACGCCGUAAACGAUGAUAACUAGCCGUUGGGGGGAUUUACCCCUUAGUGGCGAAGCUAACGCGUUAA
This 817-nucleotide ribosomal RNA is filed under the name uncultured bacterium. RNAcentral's name for it is "bacterial SSU rRNA". It matches the Rfam family "Bacterial small subunit ribosomal RNA", at positions 56 to 863 of the family's 1533-position model. The record is from RNAcentral.